GGAGAAAAACAUUUUAUUAUGCCCGUGAGCCCACUGGGGAUUCUAAGCACUCUACCAGAAAUGAGAGCCUCCUUAUAUAGGGAUCUACAGAGUAGGUGAGCAUGCUCAAUGAAGCAGGGGGCGGAGUUACAGAACAUUCCUGAAGUAAAGGGGUGGGGUUACAGAACAUUCCUGAAACACAUGCCAUGUGAGCAUGCUCAAUAAAGCAGGAGGAAGAGUUACAGAAUAUUCCUGAAACAGAGGGGCAGAGUUACAGAACAUUCUUGAGAGGGGCGGGGCUUAACAGAACACUCCUCAAAGGUCAUACAGUUCAAAGAGUCACAAACAAUUUUGAUACAUUGGGCCAGAGCCCAGCAACACAAACUUACACUUCCAAAACAAAACAUUCUGUGGGCAAAAAAUGGAGGCAAGAAACAGCACUCUUCCCUGAGAAAGAUACAAGUUCCCCUCUCUUCCACUGUAAGUAAGUCAACGGCAUGGCGGUUUUGUAGAGUGACUCCAGUUACAUCCUGUGAAUGGUGUCCUCAGGCUUCGGCCAUGCAUAGACUCCACAUCUGACUAGAGCAGGACUGUUAUCUCCUGAUGCUAUAUCCAAGGCAAGGUGAGUUCCAAGGUCUUCUGUCUGAGUCGAGUCCUAAGGGGAUUCUGGGGGUUCAGGUGGGUAGUCCAGGUGUCCAGGACUUCUGCAGGGAGGAACUUCUUUAUUCAUGAUGUGCCCAUGUGAUAAUACCUGUAACUUUGACAGCAGUGGGGGAAGAAAGCACAACAGUAUAUGGCCCUAGCCAAUAGGUUGGAGGGGUGUCCUUUUCCAAUCUUUAACCCAAACUGAUAACAUCUCUCCUAAAAUAUCUAAUGAUUGGGGGGAGGUCUCUCAAACAUUAUCUCAUAUGGGGAAUAACCUAAGAGUCUGUCCACCUGACUCUGGGCAGGGCCAGAGGUAACAUGUCUGGCCACUCUGUCCCUGUUUCUUGGCAAUACUUAGCAAAGAUGGUUUUAAGGGUUCAAUUCAUGCAUUCUAGCCUCCUUGAAAUUUGUGGCUGAUAGGCUCUGCACAGAUUCCAUUUAAUCUUUAGCAUAUCAGAGAGGCCUUGGAUAGCCU
Molecule: long non-coding RNA, 1099 nt
Filed under: Heterocephalus glaber (naked mole-rat)
Lineage: Eukaryota; Metazoa; Chordata; Mammalia; Rodentia; Bathyergidae
Description: lncRNA (ENSHGLG00100046254.1)
Source: RNAcentral